UUCCUAGUGGCUCAGACGGUAAAGAAUCUGCCUGCCAUGCAGGAGACUCAGGUUCGAUCCCUGGGUAGGGAA
Molecule: transfer RNA, 72 nt
Filed under: Ovis aries (sheep)
Lineage: Eukaryota; Metazoa; Chordata; Mammalia; Artiodactyla; Bovidae
Rfam family: tRNA
About the family: Transfer RNA (tRNA) molecules are approximately 80 nucleotides in length. Their secondary structure includes four short double-helical elements and three loops (D, anti-codon, and T loops).
Source: Rfam by way of RNAcentral